GGUUAUGUUGACUCACUCAAUCUGGGUGUGAUGUGCAAGUUAAUGUCCCCAUCACAACCUCCUUGAGUGAGCGAAUAUAACC
Molecule: non-coding RNA, 82 nt
Organism: Rhodnius prolixus
Lineage: Eukaryota; Metazoa; Arthropoda; Insecta; Hemiptera; Reduviidae
Source: Rfam